RNAcentral lists this transfer RNA (108 nucleotides) under Candidatus Woesearchaeota archaeon. Its description in RNAcentral is "tRNA-Arg". The record is from RNAcentral. Lineage: Archaea; Nanobdellati; Candidatus Woesearchaeota.
GGGCCAGUAACUCAGCUUGGAUACUUGCGCGUGCAAGGAUUUGGCGCAGCCAAAUAGAGUGACAGCCUUCUAAGCUGUAAGUCCGGAGUUCGAAUCUUCGCUGGCCCG